GACGAACGCUGGCGGCGUGCUUAACACAUGCAAGUCGAACGGUAAGGCCCUUCGGGGUACACGAGUGGCGAACGGGUGAGUAACACGUGGGUGAUCUGCCCUGCACUUCGGGAUAAGCCUGGGAAACUGGGUCUAAUACCGGAUAGGACCACUGCCUGCAUGGGUGGUGGUGGAAAGCUUUUGCGGUGUGGGAUGGGCCCGCGGCCUAUCAGCUUGUUGGUGGGGUGAUGGCCUACCAAGGCGACGGCGGGUAGCCGGCCUGAGAGGGUGACCGGCCACACUGGGACUGAGAUACGGCCCAGACUCCUACGGGAGGCAGCAGUGGGGAAUAUUGCACAAUGGGCGCAAGCCUGAUGCAGCGACGCCGCGUGAGGGAUGACGGCCUUCGGAUUGUAAACCUCUUUCAGCACCGACGAAGCGCAAGUGACGGUAGGUGCAGAAGAAGGACCGGCCAACUACGUGCCAGCCGCCGCGGUAA
Molecule: ribosomal RNA, 478 nt
Filed under: uncultured bacterium
Lineage: Bacteria
Description: partial 16S ribosomal RNA
Rfam family: Bacterial small subunit ribosomal RNA
Source: RNAcentral